Molecule: non-coding RNA, 71 nt
Organism: Ictidomys tridecemlineatus (thirteen-lined ground squirrel)
Lineage: Eukaryota; Metazoa; Chordata; Mammalia; Rodentia; Sciuridae
Source: Rfam
GGGGUUGUGGCUCAGUGGUAGAGCGCUUGCCUACCACAUGUGAGGCACUGGGUUCAAUCCUCAGCACCCCA